Molecule: unclassified non-coding RNA, 377 nt
Filed under: uncultured Oligoflexales bacterium
Lineage: Bacteria; Pseudomonadati; Bdellovibrionota; Oligoflexia; Oligoflexales
Description: contains 16S-23S intergenic spacer region
Source: RNAcentral
UCCGGUUUAACACCGGCAGUCUCCUUAGAGUGCCCAACUAAAUGAUGGCAACUAAGGACAAGGGUUGCGCUCGUUAAGGGACUUAACCCGACAUCUCACGAUACGAGCUGACGACAGCCAUGCAGCACCUGUCUCCCGGCCCCCGAAGGGGAAACCCUAUCUCUAGGGCUGUCCGGGGAUGUCAAACCCAGGUAAGGUUCUUCGCGUUGCAUCGAAUUAAACCACAUGCUCCACCGCUUGUGCGGGCCCCCGUCAAUUCCUUUGAGUUUUAACCUUGCGGCCGUACUUCCCAGGCGGGGUACUUAAUGCGUUGGCGUCGGCACUGCGGGGGUCAAUUCCCGCAACACCUAGUACCCAUCGUUUACAGCGUGGACUAC